This 240-nucleotide unclassified non-coding RNA is filed under the name uncultured fungus. RNAcentral's name for it is "sequence contains ITS1, 5.8S rRNA gene". The stretch from base 192 to 240 matches the Rfam family "5.8S ribosomal RNA", at positions 1 to 49 of the family's 154-position model. The record is from RNAcentral. Lineage: Eukaryota; Fungi.
UCUCCGUUGGUGAACCAGCGGAGGGAUCAUUACCGAGUUCAUGCCCGCAAGGGUAGAUCUCCCACCCUGCUUACCUACCAUGUGCUUUGGCGGGCCGCUCUUCGGACUGUCGCCCUUCGGGGGGGCAUGCGCCCGUCAAAGGAUUUCAACUCUGCAGUCUCUGACGUCUGAGUCUAAACAAAAUAUAUCAAAACUUUCAACAAAGGAUCUCUUGGUUCCGGCGUCGAUGAAGAACGCAGC